CCCUUGGCCACCUGAAGAGGAAACUGUGUUACUGAAAAUAAAAAUGUUUCUUCAUUUGAGUUCUUAUAAAAUCAUGGAAUGUUAGAAGGUGACCCAAUCCCACCUCUCACGUUACCAGCAAGAAAACGGAGAUACAGAAAAGGCCAGCUUUGGCACCUGGCUUCAUAGAAUUGCCGUGGAUGUACCACUCCAGCCCUGAAACAGGUCCCCGGAUCUGCCCCCUCUGGUCCCCAUAGGGCUGGGACGCUAAGACACCUAGUGGUUAAAGAGAAGAUCCCUCCCUUAAGAGGCUUACGACUGUAACCAGGAAAACAAGUGCACUGCUCACAAUAGUAAAAAGGAAGGAGAGGGCUCUAAAAAUUGCUGGGCAAUUUCAAAGAAGAGAAGAUGACUGUGAAAGUAGAUGACGAGACUGUCGAAGGAACAGCUCCUGGAAUCUAGACUCUUCUCCAUUACUUCUUAGCUCUUGUCUCUGGUUGUGAUUUGGCUCAGCAGAAGAUGGACGAAGACCCUAUCAAUCGAAUGAAAUAAUUGUAUUUAUUUUUUUUUUAUUAAAAAAAUUUUUUUAACGUUUAUUUAUUUUUGAGACAGAGAGAG
Molecule: long non-coding RNA, 597 nt
Organism: Prionailurus viverrinus (fishing cat)
Lineage: Eukaryota; Metazoa; Chordata; Mammalia; Carnivora; Felidae
Exons: 4
Source: RefSeq, a predicted model, not a curated record